This 208-nucleotide ribosomal RNA is filed under the name uncultured Gammaproteobacteria bacterium. RNAcentral's name for it is "uncultured gamma proteobacterium partial 16S ribosomal RNA". It matches the Rfam family "Bacterial small subunit ribosomal RNA", at positions 568 to 775 of the family's 1533-position model. The record is from RNAcentral. Lineage: Bacteria; Pseudomonadati; Pseudomonadota; Gammaproteobacteria.
CACGCAGGCGGUUAGAUAAGUCAGAUGUGAAAGCCCCGGGCUCAACCUGGGAACUGCAUUUGAAACUGUCGAACUAGAGUCUUGUAGAGGGGGGUAGAAUUCCAGGUGUAGCGGUGAAAUGCGUAGAGAUCUGGAGGAAUACCGGUGGCGAAGGCGGCCCCCUGGACAGAGACUGACGCUCAGGUGCGAAAGCGUGGGGAGCAAACAG